GAUGAACGCAGGCGGCGUGCUUAACACAUGCAAGUCGAACGAAGCAUUUAGAACAGAUUAUUUCGGUAUGAAGUUCUUUAUGACUGAGUGGCGGACGGGUGAGUAACGCGUGGGUAACCUGCCUUGUACUGGGGGAUAGCAGCUGGAAACGGCUGGUAAUACCGCAUAAGCGCACGGUGCUGCAUGGCACAGUGUGAAAAACUCCGGUGGUAUAAGAUGGACCCGCGUCUGAUUAGCUAGUUGGUGAGAUAACAGCCCACCAAGGCGACGAUCAGUAGCCGACCUGAGAGGGUGACCGGCCACAUUGGGACUGAGACACGGCCCAGACUCCUACGGGAGGCAGCAGUGGGGAAUAUUGCACAAUGGAGGAAACUCUGAUGCAGCGACGCCGCGUGAGUGAAGAAGUAAUUCGUUAUGUAAAGCUCUAUCAGCAGGGAAGAUAGUGACGGUACCUGACUAAGAAGCUCCGGCUAAAUACGUGCCAGCCGCCGCAGUAA
RNAcentral lists this ribosomal RNA (497 nucleotides) under uncultured bacterium. RNAcentral describes it as "partial 16S ribosomal RNA". It matches the Rfam family "Bacterial small subunit ribosomal RNA", at positions 28 to 523 of the family's 1533-position model. The record is from RNAcentral.